GUGUUUUGUUUGUUUUUUGCUUUUUAGGGCCGUGCCUGCAGCAUAUGGAAGUUCCCAGGCUAGGGGUCGAAUCAGAGUUGUAGCCACCGGCCUACACCACAGCCACAGCAAUGUCAGAUCUGAGCUGCGUCUGCUAACUACACCACAGCUCACGGCAACGCCGGAUCCUAACCCACUGAGCAAGGCCAGGGAUUGAACCUGCAGCCUAAUGUUUCCUGGUCGGAUUUGUUUCUGCUGCGCCACGACGGGAGCUCCCAGAGUAGGCUUUAAUGAUCCGUCUCAGCUGAGGCCUUCUUGUUGUUCUGCUCGGAGCAGGGGAGCAGGUAUCAGGGGCUCCUCGUCCAGCCUGCCACUUCCUAGGGAGGGUGGGGGACCUCCUGGGCCCUGUGCCCCUGGAGCCCAGGCCUUGUCCCAUCCUCCCGUCUCAGCCAUGACUGUGGGAGGUGGCACAAUGAAGACACGGGUGAUGGCACCAGAACGGGCCGUGUUAGGGCUGGUGCUUGGAAGUGCCCUUGGUUAAAGGGCAGAGUCCUGGCGCUUGGCAGCCCACGUGGAGAGGAGUGGUUUGGUCUGCUCCGUCAGCAUCCGCGGUGACCACGAAUGACAGGAAUGUCACUCACGGAGGACCUGGCGCCCUGGCCACAUCGGCACACGGACGGGGGGAGUCCAGCAAAGGCCCCUCUGAGAGCUGCCCCUCCUUGGGGACCCUCCCACUCUCGGGGGUGGCUGAGGGGCACGGGCCAGGGGACCCUGAGGGGAGCGGGGAAGCGGGCGCAAGGGUCUCCACCUGGCCGAGGACCCGCCGUUCCUGGGGUCUGCUCACGGGGGCCACCAACUCCUCCUUCUGGGUGUAUCAGGGCUGCACGGGGACCCCCAGCUUGGGUCUUGUCUGCUGUGGCCUCUGCUCUGUGCUCCGGGCCCACUGCACUCUGCCCUAGGGAGGGGGCAGCAGCCCCGCUCUGUCCCCGGGGCUCAGUGGCCACCUCACUGUGGACACUGCGCAGCCCCCAGAAAAGGGCUCCACAGAGGGAAACCCGCCGAGCUGCCCCGCACCCCGGCCCGCUCAUCCCCUGGGCCUCUGUACACCCUUUCCCCAAAUUCAGUCCCCACCCCGUGCACACGAGGCGCCCUCCCCUCCCGAGAGGAUGUCCGAACCGAACCCCCCGAGCUGUGACCCGCCACCGCGCGCAGGCCUCAUAGACCUCGGCGCCGCCUGGGUUCAGGUCACGUACAGUAAGAGACGGAGGCGGAGGAGCUGCUCAUGGAACCUGCAGAUCAGGGCCCGCUGGCUGCCCGGGGCUCGUGCUCCCUCGGAGCUCAGACGUGCCGGCCCUGAGCCAGCGGGUGAGCCCCCUCUUGUUCCUGAGCGGCCCCUCUGGGGUCGCACCCACACGGGCGUCCCCUCCACCCCGCCCCGGACGCGCUGAAGGCCCUUGGAAGACCUGGUUCCAGACACGCGCCUUGCUGUGCACAGAGCUGUGCCCCAAAUUCACAGGCUGAAGCUUAACCCCCAGUACGGCUGUGUUUUGAGGGAUUAGGGUUAAAUGAGGUCACCAGGAGAAGGGUGGCCGUGUAGGAAGAGGCCCAGGGACCUCCGUCUCUCCCCCCGAGGACAGAGGAGAUGGUGGCAUCUGCGGCCGGAAAGAGGUCUCCCCAGGAAGCAGAGGGCUGGCACCACGAACUUGGACGUCCAGCCUCCAGAACUGGGAGACUAAACGCCAGCUGUCUCUGCCGCCAGCCUGCAGCGUUUGCUGUGGUGGCCAAGCAGGUGCCGAGUGGGCUGGUGGUGCCCCCGCCUUGGAGUCCUUGGUGAUCAGGAGCCGGGCUCCAGCCGGCUGCCCUAUGGUUCAGAGGCACCAGCAGCCAGAGGCCCUAGCAGCACGAGGGACCUGCUGUGUCCCUGGAGGGCUCCCCCUCAGCUGCAGGGCGGGGACAGCAUCUCGCAAGUGUACCUGGAGCAGCGGUCAGCGCGCCAACCCGCACCGUCUUCACCCCCGUGGCUCCAGGAGGUCCCUAGUCGGCCGUGAUGGACGGCACGCCUGCCCAUGGGCACCCCAGGCCCUCAUUGAGUCCCCUCCCUGCCUCCGGGGACCUGAGCUCCCACGGGAAGGGUAGGGGCUGGAAAGAGCCCUCCACCUCCCUGCUGGGCUCUGGGUCUCCCUGGGCACUGAGCGAGGGCGCAUGUGUCCUCUGGUGCCAUCGGCAUCUGGGUAGCUCUGUCUGCAAAGCACCUCCCAGGCCACCUGGUUGUCGAUUUCUGGGUGGCCUUCCUUCCAGGUCGCCCAUCAGCCAAACCAAGAGCCGUGGCCCAGGGCCUGGCAAGUGGUUCCUCUGGACACUGCUCCUUCCACACAAGUGCACGGCCCGCCAGCGGAAAGGCUGUGUUACGCCUCCGAGAGACCCUUCUGUCUAGCCUCCUCCAGGAGCACCCACGUGGUCCUGCAGCAGCCCCCACCCCAGCGGGCGCCCACUGUGCAGAGAGGAACCGGGAGCCCUGAAGCCCCCGCGGUAAGAGGGUGGACUUGCUUGCUGGGCCCAAGGUGCAAGCUGGUUCCCUGAGGUGAGGGCUUCUUCCUACUGUGAGCAGCUGCCGCUCGUCGCCGUGUCCCAGCCGUGACCCGCACUCCUUCUGGGCACACAUCCUUGGGAAGCAUCCCCAGCUUAUCCUGGAGUCUGACUCUAGCCAGAGUCCGGAGGUUGAGCGGGCGAGGGGUGUCUGGAGAAACAGGGCGGCAGGUGGGGGCCCGAGGAGCCCCCCAGAGGAGAGGUGACAAUGCUCCCACCCCCCAGAUUCUUGGACAGCGACACUGUAGGCGUGAACACAAGACUGGUAGGCAAGCUCGGUGCUCAAGGGAGGAGGGAGGUGCCGGCUCUCGGGGGAGGGGCCGCAGGGGCCGGAUCAGCGGGGCUCCUCUCUGGGACUAGUCGGCAUCAAGGUGAAGUUUCCAGCACCAUCAGCCUUCUGGUUGCGACUGGUCCGGGCCCACGUGCUUGUAGCCUUUGUCUGGUGGGGCUGCUUCCCGCAGAGUCGCCUUAGGAUGCUGUGUUGCGCCCUCAUCUCCAUCUUUCAGGAUUUGGGAGUUGGGCGUUUCUGCUGGGUGACAUGUGCCUCCUGCCCCGGUCCUUUGGAAACCACAUACACACACUCACUCACACACACACACACACACACACACACACACACGUCAGCUUUGUCUGACCAGCCCCGCCAAGCCCACAUGCUCAAGGCUGCUCCCUCCAUCCUUUUUCCAAGGGGGAUGGUCUCUUGUCUCCCUGUCUCACCUGGAUGCCCAGGUGUCUGGAGCCAGGCAUCUGCAGGCUCUUCUGAUUCCACCCAAGGCCAUCUGGAUGGCAUAGACUUGGAAGCCAGUGAUAGCAACCCAGGUUGGGGCUCUGGGCCCACUGGUGAGGCCUGGUUCUGCCGCACGUGUUUGGGGUUCCUUUGGGGCUCCCCAGGCUGCCCUCGCGUCCCAUGAGCCUGCUGCCCGCUCAUCCUGUUUCCACGCGGAUUCCACCAAACAUUGCGGCCGUCUGCUCUCGUCUCACUUUUCUAUUUCUGCCCAACAAACCCCCAGCGCUUGGCAUUAAAACGGCUUCUUUCUUCCUUCAUGGUCAGAGCUCAGGAUGGCCUCAACAGAGGGCCCUGCUCCCUCGGCGGCUCUGGGCGUCACACCUGGGCUGGGCUGGACGGUCCAAGAAGGAC
Molecule: long non-coding RNA, 3703 nt
Filed under: Sus scrofa (pig)
Lineage: Eukaryota; Metazoa; Chordata; Mammalia; Artiodactyla; Suidae
Description: lncRNA (ENSSSCG00015057598.1)
Source: RNAcentral